This 222-nucleotide long non-coding RNA is filed under the name Rhinopithecus bieti (black snub-nosed monkey). Its description in RNAcentral is "lncRNA (ENSRBIG00000046599.1)". Lineage: Eukaryota; Metazoa; Chordata; Mammalia; Primates; Cercopithecidae. The record is from RNAcentral.
AUGAAGAAAUUAUAUUUAAGCCUUCAGACAGUGUUCUUUCCUGAAUGCUGGAAGUUCAUCUUAUUCAAAUAUUCAAGAAUCACAUGUGGUAGAGGACUCCAUAUAUACUUGUUUUGUCUAGGAAAGAGCAACAGAGACACGCAAAACUAUGGCCUCGUACUUUCAUCUACUCCCUCCAUUCUUAAUUAUCAGACCAAGAAAAGGGCACUGAUGGCAUCCUGA